This 293-nucleotide ribosomal RNA is filed under the name uncultured bacterium. RNAcentral describes it as "partial 16S ribosomal RNA". It matches the Rfam family "Bacterial small subunit ribosomal RNA", at positions 773 to 1060 of the family's 1533-position model. The record is from RNAcentral.
GUGGAUUAGAUACCCUGGUAGUCCUAGCUGUAAACUAUGUAUACUAGAUGUUGGGGGAGUCAAUCUUUCCAGCGUCGUAGCUAACGCUUUAAGUAUACCGCCUGGGAAGUACGCCCGCAAGGGUGAAACUCAAAGGAAUUGACGGGGGCCCGCACAAGCGGUGGAGCAUGUGCUUUAAUUCGAUGCAACGCGAAGAACCUUACCUGGGUUUGACAUGGGAGUGAAAGUUUCCAGAGAUGGAGGCCUUUCCGCAAGGAACACUCUACACAGGUGCUGCAUGGCUGUCGACAGCU